This 1372-nucleotide ribosomal RNA is filed under the name uncultured bacterium. RNAcentral's name for it is "bacterial SSU rRNA". It matches the Rfam family "Bacterial small subunit ribosomal RNA", at positions 28 to 1381 of the family's 1533-position model. The record is from RNAcentral.
GAUGAACGCUGGCGGCGUGCCUAAUACAUGCAAGUCGAGCGAACGGACGAGAAGCUUGCUUCUCUGAUGUUAGCGGCGGACGGGUGAGUAACACGUGGAUAACCUACCUAUAAGACUGGGAUAACUUCGGGAAACCGGAGCUAAUACCGGAUAAUAUUUUGAACCGCAUGGUUCAAAAGUGAAAGACGGUCUUGCUGUCACUUAUAGAUGGAUCCGCGCUGCAUUAGCUAGUUGGUAAGGUAACGGCUUACCAAGGCAACGAUGCAUAGCCGACCUGAGAGGGUGAUCGGCCACACUGGAACUGAGACACGGUCCAGACUCCUACGGGAGGCAGCAGUAGGGAAUCUUCCGCAAUGGGCGAAAGCCUGACGGAGCAACGCCGCGUGAGUGAUGAAGGUCUUCGGAUCGUAAAACUCUGUUAUUAGGGAAGAACAUAUGUGUAAGUAACUGUGCACAUCUUGACGGUACCUAAUCAGAAAGCCACGGCUAACUACGUGCCAGCAGCCGCGGUAAUACGUAGGUGGCAAGCGUUAUCCGGAAUUAUUGGGCGUAAAGCGCGCGUAGGCGGUUUUUUAAGUCUGAUGUGAAAGCCCACGGCUCAACCGUGGAGGGUCAUUGGAAACUGGAAAACUUGAGUGCAGAAGAGGAAAGUGGAAUUCCAUGUGUAGCGGUGAAAUGCGCAGAGAUAUGGAGGAACACCAGUGGCGAAGGCGACUUUCUGGUCUGUAACUGACGCUGAUGUGCGAAAGCGUGGGGAUCAAACAGGAUUAGAUACCCUGGUAGUCCACGCCGUAAACGAUGAGUGCUAAGUGUUAGGGGGUUUCCGCCCCUUAGUGCUGCAGCUAACGCAUUAAGCACUCCGCCUGGGGAGUACGACCGCAGGGUUGAAACUCAAAGGAAUUGACGGGGACCCGCACAAGCGGUGGAGCAUGUGGUUUAAUUCGAAGCAACGCGAAGAACCUUACCAAAUCUUGACAUCCUUUGACAACUCUAGAGAUAGAGCCUUCCCCUUCGGGGGACAAAGUGACAGGUGGUGCAUGGUUGUCGUCAGCUCGUGUCGUGAGAUGUUGGGUUAAGUCCCGCAACGAGCGCAACCCUUAAGCUUAGUUGCCAUCAUUAAGUUGGGCACUCUAAGUUGACUGCCGGUGACAAACCGGAGGAAGGUGGGGAUGACGUCAAAUCAUCAUGCCCCUUAUGAUUUGGGCUACACACGUGCUACAAUGGACAACACAAAGGGCAGCGAAACCGCGAGGUCAAGCAAAUCCCAUAAAGUUGUUCUCAGUUCGGAUUGUAGUCUGCAACUCGACUACAUGAAGCUGGAAUCGCUAGUAAUCGUAGAUCAGCAUGCUACGGUGAAUACGUUCCCGGGUCU